GUUAGGUGCCCGCAAGGGCUUAAUAGGGAAGUCCGGUGCGAUACCGGUGCGGUCCCGCCACUGUAAUGAGGAGUAAACCCGAGAUAUGCCACUGGAGCGAGUGCUCUGGGAAGGUUCGGGGGAGCGAUGAUCCAGAGCCAGGAGAACUGCCUAGCU
Molecule: non-coding RNA, 156 nt
Filed under: uncultured Anaerosporomusa sp.
Lineage: Bacteria; Bacillati; Bacillota; Negativicutes; Acetonemataceae
Source: RNAcentral